Long non-coding RNA from Scylla paramamosain (green mud crab), 441 nucleotides. RefSeq lists it as uncharacterized. The transcript is spliced from 3 exons. Lineage: Eukaryota; Metazoa; Arthropoda; Malacostraca; Decapoda; Portunidae. The record is from RefSeq and is a predicted model, not a curated record.
GAAACAGAGGAAGAGGAGGAGGAACCACACAUCACCAAACAAAGCUUCAAUUCACCAAAUCUAAACUAACCGAAAUUUCCUGCAGUCCGUUCGAAGCUAAUACACAAGAGGAGAGGGCGCAGAAAGCCUAGUAGGAGGACGGAGUUGCCGUGUUUAUAUUUGAGACGCGAAGAGCAUCAAGGACUCAAUCAGCCACAGUUUUUGAGGACCUGUGUUAGGUGUUUCCAGCCAGGCCCGUCAUAAUUCAUACAGCGUGUGAUGGAGAAUCCCGGGAGUCCCACGAGAACACCAAGAUGAAGAGGUCACCUGUCGGAAAGUCAACACGACCCACGCCGGUGCUAAUGAAGAAGCAGGCGUCCACACUGCGGGCUGGAGGGCUGCCGGGCUGAGAAAACAAGUUAAAGCUGCGCUGAGCUGGAAAUUACUACACACACACACACA